CAGGGGGCGAUGGAGCCGCACGGAAUCCGCUACAGGAAGUGGAACAGGAUCAUGGUUGUUAUUGUGAUCUGCCAAGAGGCGCGGAUCUGUUGAUCGAGGCUCGAUAGUGGUCGGAGUUUGGCCUUUGUAGGAGUCCGGGAGGGGUCCUCCUUUCGGUUGAGGUCGUGGGUGGAGUCCGGCUCCAGCAGCUGAUACUGAGGU
RNAcentral lists this long non-coding RNA (201 nucleotides) under Elaeis guineensis (African oil palm). RNAcentral's name for it is "long non-coding RNA (EGUI_LNC079816)". Lineage: Eukaryota; Viridiplantae; Streptophyta; Magnoliopsida; Arecales; Arecaceae. The record is from RNAcentral.